Molecule: transfer RNA, 110 nt
Filed under: Exophiala sideris
Lineage: Eukaryota; Fungi; Ascomycota; Eurotiomycetes; Chaetothyriales; Herpotrichiellaceae
Description: tRNA-Gly
Rfam family: tRNA
About the family: Transfer RNA (tRNA) molecules are approximately 80 nucleotides in length. Their secondary structure includes four short double-helical elements and three loops (D, anti-codon, and T loops). Further hydrogen bonds mediate the characteristic L-shaped molecular structure. tRNAs have two regions of fundamental functional importance: the anti-codon, which is responsible for specific mRNA codon recognition, and the 3' end, to which the tRNAs corresponding amino acid is attached (by aminoacyl-tRNA synthetases). tRNAs cope with the degeneracy of the genetic code in two manners: having more than one tRNA (with a specific anti-codon) for a particular amino acid; and 'wobble' base-pairing, i.e. permitting non-standard base-pairing at the 3rd anti-codon position.
Source: RNAcentral
GCGCCGAUGGUUUAGCGGUAAAAUCCGUCGUUGCCAAGACCCGCUAGUCCUCGUUCGGACAAGCUUGUACUCGAAUCGACGGGCCCCCGGUUCGACUCCGGGUCGGCGCA